Molecule: ribosomal RNA, 423 nt
Filed under: uncultured bacterium
Lineage: Bacteria
Description: bacterial SSU rRNA
Rfam family: Bacterial small subunit ribosomal RNA
Source: RNAcentral
UGGGGAAUAUCGGACAAUGGGCGAAAGCCUGAUCCAGCCACGCCGCAUGAGUGAUGAAGGCCUUCGGGUCGUAAAGCUCUGUGGGGAGGGACGAAUGACCGGGUGAAGAAUCCGGAAUGACGGUACCUCCUUAGCAAGCACCGGCUAACUUCGUGCCAGCAGCCGCGGUAAUACGAAGGGUGCAAACGUUGCUCGGAAUCAUUGGGCGUAAAGCGCACGUAGGCGGCCUGAUAAGUCGGAUGUGAAAUCCCUCGGCUCAACCGAGGACGUGCAUUCGAAACUGUCAGACUCGAGUAUGGAAGAGGGUCGCGGAAUUCCCGGUGUAGAGGUGAAAUUCGUAGAUAUCGGGAGGAACACCAGUGGCGAAGGCGGCGACCUGGGCCAAUACUGACGCUGAGGUGCGAAAGCGUGGGGAGCAAACAG